RNAcentral lists this ribosomal RNA (462 nucleotides) under uncultured bacterium. RNAcentral's name for it is "bacterial SSU rRNA". It matches the Rfam family "Bacterial small subunit ribosomal RNA", at positions 8 to 467 of the family's 1533-position model. The record is from RNAcentral.
AGGGUUUGAUCAUGGCUCAGAUUGAACGCUGGCGGCAGGCCUAACACAUGCAAGUCGAGCGGAAACGAUCCUAGCUUGCUAGGAGGCGUCGAGCGGCGGACGGGUGAGUAACGCGUGAGAAUCUACCCAUGAGUGGGGGACAACCCGGGGAAACUCGGGCUAAUACCGCAUACGCCCUACGGGGUAAAGCAGGGGACCUUCGGGCCUUGCGCUGAUGGAUGAGCUCGCGUCGGAUUAGCUUGUUGGUGAGGUAAAGGCUCACCAAGGCGACGAUCCGUAGCUGGUCUGAGAGGAUGAUCAGCCACACCGGGACUGAGACACGGCCCGGACUCCUACGGGAGGCAGCAGUGGGGAAUCUUGGACAAUGGGGGCAACCCUGAUCCAGCCAUGCCGCGUGUGUGAAGAAGGCCUUCGGGUUGUAAAGCACUUUCAGCAGGGAGGAAGGCUUACCCCUAAUACGGG